AUUGGUGGCAGGUCGGGUGUAUGUGCCAUCAACAAAACUGAUUUUGUUUUUGGCUGUUAAGGUAACAAUCAUUUUGCAUUUCCAGCCCCCAUACCCACUACCCGAGAAGGGAGUGGGAACAAGUGAUACCCCAGGGACAUCGGAUGAGUACACAAAAAGGGGACUAGAAGAAUCUACAGCAGUAGAGGCACCAACGUUUGUGCUAGAAGCCAUAAUGAACCGGCUUAAAUGAAUAACUUUUCAACAAACAGAAUACUACCAAACCAGGUAUUCAAACACAGCAACCAACAAACAGACGACAGUCAGGUCAAAUAUUCACAGACAACACCAGAUGCUCAUAAUAACAGAGUCAAAUAAUCACAAAUAAUAUCGAAGAUAAGGACAGAGUUACCCUUCUUCUUCGCGACCGGAGAAGAUCGGCCUUCAAACAGAAGAGAAACCAUAGGUGUAACUUUGAAAACAAAUUUUUUUACCGGAAAUCUGGUCAGCAACGCCGGAAAUGCACCCAAAGCGUCCUCAAAAAGUGAUAAUCGAGCUACCGGAAUACAGUAAAACCUCAGGUUAGACCGUCAAAAAAACCCUAGAAGCAGAUAAGUCACCCAAAAUUAACCAAGCAAGAUCAUCAUAAAAUCUUUCCAGAAUGUUCAGGAGAUGAAAAUACACUCG
RNAcentral lists this long non-coding RNA (666 nucleotides) under Nicotiana benthamiana. Its description in RNAcentral is "long non-coding RNA (NBEN_LNC032134)". Lineage: Eukaryota; Viridiplantae; Streptophyta; Magnoliopsida; Solanales; Solanaceae. The record is from RNAcentral.